RNAcentral lists this ribosomal RNA (497 nucleotides) under uncultured bacterium. RNAcentral's name for it is "partial 16S ribosomal RNA". It matches the Rfam family "Bacterial small subunit ribosomal RNA", at positions 28 to 507 of the family's 1533-position model. The record is from RNAcentral.
GAUGAACGCUGGCGGCGUGCCUAAUACAUGCAAGUCGAGCGAACAGACGAGGAGCUUGCUCCUCUGACGUUAGCGGCGGACGGGUGAGUAACACGUGGAUAACCUACCUAUAAGACUGGGAUAACUUCGGGAAACCGGAGCUAAUACCGGAUAAUAUAUUGAACCGCAUGGUUCAAUAGUGAAAGACGGUUUUGCUGUCACUUAUAGAUGGAUCCGCGCCGCAUUAGCUAGUUGGUAAGGUAACGGCUUACCAAGGCAACGAUGCGUAGCCGACCUGAGAGGGUGAUCGGCCACACGGGAACUGAGACACGGCCCAGACUCUUACGGGAGGCAGCAGUAGGGAAUCUUCCGCAAUGGGCGAGAGCCUGACGGAGCAACGCCGCGGGAGUGAUGAAGGUGUUCGGAUCGGAAAACUCUGUUAGUAGGGAAGAACAAAUGUGUAAGUAACUAUGCACGUCUUGACGGUACCUAAUCAGAAAGCCACGGCUAACUACGUG